Molecule: long non-coding RNA, 553 nt
Organism: Thunnus maccoyii (southern bluefin tuna)
Lineage: Eukaryota; Metazoa; Chordata; Actinopteri; Scombriformes; Scombridae
Exons: 2
Source: RefSeq, a predicted model, not a curated record
AUUGUUUCCUAGGUAAUGCCCACAAAAUAAGGACUCCUGCAUCUGACGAUUGAGAUAAAACAAAGAGUUCUUUCAAAUCAGCUUAACUCCUGCUUGAACCGGCUGGCUGACAGCUGCCAAGACAGAAGACGAGGCAACUGCUCACAAAACACAGACACAGUCUUGGAUCUAGCAAAUGAGAUGACUUUCCCCUCUGCAGACCUCUUAUCUCCCCGGGAUCCAUCUGUGGCAAGAAGUGCUCUGUGUCUCUUCUCAGUGUUAUUACUGCCUUUAGCUGGUUGCCUCUCUGUGUCAGGUCUGCCUCUUUGUGGACUUGUUGGCUUGCAGAGGAGGUGAACAGGGAUACUGCUGCUCAUGUCUGUGAGCCAUCAGCACAAAAUGAUGGAGAGGAAAUCACAGCAUCUUUUUUUAAGUUGAAAUGCCAUUAACAACUUACAAUAACAGUUAUUGUAUGUUUGGUUUAACAGCUAAUUUAAAGCUGAACACUCAGUAUGCAGGUAUUCCUGACUCAGACUGAUAGCCUGCAGUGUCUUAAUAAACUGUAAAUGGUGUG